UGCAGGGUAGAGAAGUUCGGUCAUCUCGCUAGCCUCAUAAGCUAGAAAUCGCCUUAAGUGGUUCAAAUCCCGCCCCUGCUCCCA
RNAcentral lists this transfer RNA (84 nucleotides) under Streptomyces phage BRock. RNAcentral describes it as "tRNA-Met". It matches the Rfam family "tRNA". Rfam says of the family: Transfer RNA (tRNA) molecules are approximately 80 nucleotides in length. The record is from RNAcentral. Lineage: Duplodnaviria; Heunggongvirae; Uroviricota; Caudoviricetes.